AGAGUUUGAUCCUGGCUCAGGACGAACGCUGGCGGCGUGCCUAACACAUGCAAGUCGAGCGGACCGAACCGAUUAGCUUGCUAAUUGGGGAGGUUAGCGGCGGACGGGUGAGUAACGCGUGGGUAAUCUACCCUGUAGACCGGGAUAACAGCGGGAAACUGCUGCUAAUACCGGGUACGCUUAAACGCCGAAAGGUGAUUAAGGAAAGGUGGCCUCUGGAACAAGCUACCGCUACAGGAUGAGCCUGCGUCCCAUUAGCUAGUUGGUAGGGUAAUGGCCUACCAAGGCGACGAUGGGUAGCCGGCCUGAGAGGGUGACCGGCCACACUGGGACUGAGACACGGCCCAGACUCCUACGGGAGGCAGCAGUGGGGAAUAUUGCGCAAUGGGGGGAACCCUGACGCAGCAACGCCGCGUGAGCGAAGAAGGCCUUCGGGUCGUAAAGCUCUGUCAAGUGGGACGAAGUCUAUGGGGUGAAGAACCCUAUAGGUGACGGUACCACUAGAGGAAGCCCCGGCUAACUA
Molecule: ribosomal RNA, 523 nt
Filed under: uncultured bacterium
Lineage: Bacteria
Description: bacterial SSU rRNA
Rfam family: Bacterial small subunit ribosomal RNA
Source: RNAcentral